This 747-nucleotide non-coding RNA is filed under the name Bambusiphaga maculata. Lineage: Eukaryota; Metazoa; Arthropoda; Insecta; Hemiptera; Delphacidae. The record is from RNAcentral.
UAGAGAAUUAUUUGAUCAAAUUAGGGGUAAGGGCUAUUAAGUGAAAAUAGAUGUAAAAAUUUAAAUAGGGGUUUCGUUUAAAAAAUGGGUUUUUUUAUUUUCAGUGUAAAAGGUUAACAAAAUUAUUGGGGGGUAAUUUUAAUUAAUUUAGUAAACAUUGAGGAGAACAAAAAUGUGCCAGCAUUCGCGGUUAAACAUUAUUCUCGGGUCUUUUUAUUUAGGGGGAAGAAUGGUGUAAAUAUAUUUAAUUAUUUUAAUGGGGGUUAAAUAAAUUAAAAUAGAUAUUAUACAUAAAUUCUUUAAAAUUUUGGGCUUAAACUAGGAUUAGAUACCCUAUUAUUCAAAAUUACUUUUAACUUUUUAGUAUUUUAAUAACAUAAUAAAUUAAAUUGAUUUGGCGGUUUAUUAAACUUUUUAGAGGAAUCUGUAGAUUAAAUUGAUAAUCCACGAUUUUUUAUACCUUAAAUUUUCUUGUAUAUCUCUAUAAUGGAAUAUAUUUAAAGAUUAAUUUUCUUAUUUUUUUUUUAAUUUAAUUUAGGUCAAGGUGCAGUUAUUUUUGGGAUUUAAUGGAUUACAAUUAUUUUAGUUAGUAGAAAAAUUUAUAUAAAAAAUUUUUUAAAUUGGAUUUAAUAGUAAAUUUUUUUUUUAAAAAAUUUGAAUAAUGCUCUGAUUUAUGUACAUAUCGCCCGUCAUUCUCAUACAUGAGACAAGUCGUAACAAAGUAGAUGUAUUGGAAAAUGUAUCUAG